GACGAACGCUGGCGGCGUGCCUAAUACAUGCAAGUCGGGCGCAGGAAAUCGACGGAACCCUUCGGGGGGAAGUCGACGGAAUGAGCGGCGGACGGGUGAGUAACACGUAAAGAACCUGCCCUCAGGUCUGGGAUAACCACGAGAAAUCGGGGCUAAUACCGGAUGGGUCAUCGGACCGCAUGGUCCGAGGAUGAAAGGCGCUUCGGCGUCGCCUGGGGAUGGCUUUGCGGUGCAUUAGCUAGUCGGUGGGGUAAUGGCCCACCAAGGCGACGAUGCAUAGCCGACCUGAGAGGGUGAUCGGCCACACUGGGACUGAGACACGGCACAGACUCCUACGGGAGGCAGCAGUAGGGAAUCUUCCACAAUGGACGAAAGUCUGAUGGAGCAACGCCGCGUGAACGAUGAAGGCCUUCGGGUCGUAAAGUUCUGUUGUAAGGGAAGAACAAGUGCCGCAGGCAAUGGCGGCACCUAGACGGUACCUUGCGAGAAAGCCACGGCUAACUACGUGCCAGCCGCCGCCGUAA
This 524-nucleotide ribosomal RNA is filed under the name uncultured bacterium. RNAcentral's name for it is "partial 16S ribosomal RNA". It matches the Rfam family "Bacterial small subunit ribosomal RNA", at positions 28 to 523 of the family's 1533-position model. The record is from RNAcentral.